Molecule: ribosomal RNA, 3006 nt
Filed under: Salmonella enterica subsp. enterica serovar Indiana
Lineage: Bacteria; Pseudomonadati; Pseudomonadota; Gammaproteobacteria; Enterobacterales; Enterobacteriaceae
Description: 23S ribosomal RNA
Rfam family: Bacterial large subunit ribosomal RNA
Source: RNAcentral
GGGUUGUGAGGUUAAGCGACUAAGCGUACACGGUGGAUGCCCUGGCAGUCAGAGGCGAUGAAGGACGUGCUAAUCUGCGAUAAGCGCCGGUAAGGUGAUAUGAACCGUUAUAACCGGCGAUUUCCGAAUGGGGAAACCCAGUGCGACUCGUCACACUAUCAUUAACUGAAUCCAUAGGUUAAUGAGGCGAACCGGGGGAACUGAAACAUCUAAGUACCCCGAGGAAAAGAAAUCAACCGAGAUUCCCCCAGUAGCGGCGAGCGAACGGGGAGGAGCCCAGAGCCUGAAUCAGCAUGUGUGUUAGUGGAAGCGUCUGGAAAGGCGCGCGAUACAGGGUGACAGCCCCGUACACAAAAGCGCAUGUGCUGUGAGCUCGAUGAGUAGGGCGGGACACGUGGUAUCCUGUCUGAAUAUGGGGGGACCAUCCUCCAAGGCUAAAUACUCCUGACUGACCGAUAGUGAACCAGUACCGUGAGGGAAAGGCGAAAAGAACCCCGGCGAGGGAGUGAAAAGAACCUGAAACCGUGUACGUACAAGCAGUGGGAGCACCCUUCGGGGUGUGACUGCGUACCUUUUGUAUAAUGGGUCAGCGACUUAUAUUCUGUAGCAAGGUUAACCGAAUAGGGGAGCCGGAGGGAAACCGAGUCUUAAUUGGGCGUUAAGUUGCAGGGUAUAGACCCGAAACCCGGUGAUCUAGCCAUGGGCAGGUUGAAGGUUGGGUAACACUAACUGGAGGACCGAACCGACUAAUGUUGAAAAAUUAGCGGAUGACCUGUGGCUGGGGGUGAAAGGCCAAUCAAACCGGGAGAUAGCUGGUUCUCCCCGAAAGCUAUUUAGGUAGCGCCUCGUGAAUUCAUCUCCGGGGGUAGAGCACUGUUUCGGCUAGGGGGCCAUCCCGGCUUACCAACCCGAUGCAAACUGCGAAUACCGGAGAAUGUUAUCACGGGAGACACACGGCGGGUGCUAACGUCCGUCGUGAAGAGGGAAACAACCCAGACCGCCAGCUAAGGUCCCAAAGUCAUGGUUAAGUGGGAAACGAUGUGGGAAGGCCCAGACAGCCGGAUGUUGGCUUAGAAGCAGCCAUCAUUUAAAGAAAGCGUAAUAGCUCACUGGUCGAGUCGGCCUGCGCGGAAGAUGUAACGGGGCUAAACCAUGCACCGAAGCUGCGGCAGCGAACGUAUCACCCAAGACAACUUUGCGGAGUUGACGAUUGACGGAGCGAAGCGACGUCAAAGCGUUCAUUAAAGUCGAGUUGGCUUAGGGAUACGUUCGUUGGGUAGGGGAGCGUUCUGUAAGCCUGUGAAGGUGUGCUGUGAGGCAUGCUGGAGGUAUCAGAAGUGCGAAUGCUGACAUAAGUAACGAUAAAGCGGGUGAAAAGCCCGCUCGCCGGAAGACCAAGGGUUCCUGUCCAACGUUAAUCGGGGCAGGGUGAGUCGACCCCUAAGGCGAGGCCGAAAGGCGUAGUCGAUGGGAAACGGGUUAAUAUUCCCGUACUUGGUGUUACUGCGAAGGGGGGACGGAGAAGGCUAUGUUGGCCGGGCGACGGUUGUCCCGGUUUAAGCGUGUAGGCUGGUUUUCCAGGCAAAUCCGGAAAAUCAAGGCUGAGGCGUGACGACGAGGCACUACGGUGCUGAAGCAACAAAUGCCCUGCUUCCAGGAAAAGCCUCUAAGCAUCAGGUAACAUCAAAUCGUACCCCAAACCGACACAGGUGGUCAGGUAGAGAAUACCAAGGCGCUUGAGAGAACUCGGGUGAAGGAACUAGGCAAAAUGGUGCCGUAACUUCGGGAGAAGGCACGCUGACAUGUAGGUGAAGUGAUUUACUCAUGGAGCUGAAGUCAGUCGAAGAUACCAGCUGGCUGCAACUGUUUAUUAAAAACACAGCACUGUGCAAACACGAAAGUGGACGUAUACGGUGUGACGCCUGCCCGGUGCCGGAAGGUUAAUUGAUGGGGUCAGCGCAAGCGAAGCUCCUGAUCGAAGCCCCGGUAAACGGCGGCCGUAACUAUAACGGUCCUAAGGUAGCGAAAUUCCUUGUCGGGUAAGUUCCGACCUGCACGAAUGGCGUAAUGAUGGCCAGGCUGUCUCCACCCGAGACUCAGUGAAAUUGAACUCGCUGUGAAGAUGCAGUGUACCCGCGGCAAGACGGAAAGACCCCGUGAACCUUUACUAUAGCUUGACACUGAACAUUGAGCCUUGAUGUGUAGGAUAGGUGGGAGGCUUUGAAGCGUGGACGCCAGUCUGCGUGGAGCCGACCUUGAAAUACCACCCUUUAAUGUUUGAUGUUCUAACGUGGACCCGUUACCCGGGUUGCGGACAGUGUCUGGUGGGUAGUUUGACUGGGGCGGUCUCCUCCUAAAGAGUAACGGAGGAGCACGAAGGUUGGCUAAUCCUGGUCGGACAUCAGGAGGUUAGUGCAAUGGCAUAAGCCAGCUUGACUGCGAGCGUGACGGCGCGAGCAGGUGCGAAAGCAGGUCAUAGUGAUCCGGUGGUUCUGAAUGGAAGGGCCAUCGCUCAACGGAUAAAAGGUACUCCGGGGAUAACAGGCUGAUACCGCCCAAGAGUUCAUAUCGACGGCGGUGUUUGGCACCUCGAUGUCGGCUCAUCACAUCCUGGGGCUGAAGUAGGUCCCAAGGGUAUGGCUGUUCGCCAUUUAAAGUGGUACGCGAGCUGGGUUUAGAACGUCGUGAGACAGUUCGGUCCCUAUCUGCCGUGGGCGCUGGAGAACUGAGGGGGGCUGCUCCUAGUACGAGAGGACCGGAGUGGACGCAUCACUGGUGUUCGGGUUGUCAUGCCAAUGGCACUGCCCGGUAGCUAAAUGCGGAAGAGAUAAGUGCUGAAAGCAUCUAAGCACGAAACUUGCCCCGAGAUGAGUUCUCCCUGAGACUUUAGGUCUCCUGAAGGAACGUUGAAGACGACGACGUUGAUAGGCCGGGUGUGUAAGCGCAGCGAUGCGUUGAGCUAACCGGUACUAAUGAACCGUGAGGCUUAACCUUACAACGCCGAAG